GACGAACGCUGGCGGCGUGCUUAACACAUGCAAGUCGAACGGAAAGGCCCUGCUUGCAGGGUACUCGAGUGGCGAACGGGUGAGUAACACGUGGGUGAUCUGCCCUGCACUUCGGGAUAAGCUUGGGAAACUGGGUCUAAUACCGGAUAGGAGCCAUCUUUAGUGUGGUGGUUGGAAAGUUUUUUCGGUGUAGGAUGAGCUCGCGGCCUAUCAGCUUGUUGGUGGGGUAAUGGCCUACCAAGGCGGCGACGGGUAGCCGGCCUGAGAGGGUGUACGGCCACAUUGGGACUGAGAUACGGCCCAGACGCCUACGGGAGGCAGCAGUGGGGAAUAUUGCACAAUGGGCGCAAGCCUGAUGCAGCGACGCCGCGUGGGGGAUGAAGGCCUUCGGGUUGUAAACUCCUUUCGCUAGGGACGAAGCUUUUUGUGACGGUACCUAGAUAAGAAGCACCGGCUAACUACGUG
This 465-nucleotide ribosomal RNA is filed under the name uncultured bacterium. RNAcentral's name for it is "partial 16S ribosomal RNA". It matches the Rfam family "Bacterial small subunit ribosomal RNA", at positions 28 to 507 of the family's 1533-position model. The record is from RNAcentral.